RNAcentral lists this ribosomal RNA (460 nucleotides) under uncultured bacterium. RNAcentral describes it as "partial 16S ribosomal RNA". It matches the Rfam family "Bacterial small subunit ribosomal RNA", at positions 338 to 795 of the family's 1533-position model. The record is from RNAcentral.
CCUACGGGAGGCAGCAGUGAGGAAUAUUGGUCAAUGGACGCAAGUCUGAACCAGCCAUGCCGCGUGCAGGAAGAAGGCUCUAUGAGUUGUAAACUGCUUUUGUACGAGGGUAAACGCAGAUACGCGUAUCUGUCUGAAAGUAUCGUACGAAUAAGGAUCGGCUAACUCCGUGCCAGCAGCCGCGGUAAUACGGAGGAUUCAAGCGUUAUCCGGAUUUAUUGGGUUUAAAGGGUGCGUAGGCGGUCGGUUAAGUUAGAGGUGAAAUCCCGAGGCUCAACUGCGGAAUUGCAUCUGAUACUGUUCGUCUAGAGAGUAGUAGCGGUAGGCGGAAUGUAGGGUGUAGCGGUGAAAUGCUUAGAGAUCAUACAGAACACCGAUUGCGAAGGCAGCUUACCAAUCUACUACUGACGUUGAGGCACGAAAGCAUGGGGAGCAAACAGGAUUAGAUACCCCAGUAGUC